GGAAGGAGGAAGGAGAGAGAGAGAGAGAGAGAGAGAGAGUUAAGAAAGAAAGAAAGAAAGAAAGAAAGAAAGAAAGAAAGAAAGAAAGAAAGAAAGAAAGAAAGAAAGAAAGAAAGAAAGAAAGAAAGAAAGAAAGAAAGAAAGAAAGAAAGGAAGGAAGGAAGGAAGGAAGGAAGGAAGGAAGGAAGGAAGGAAGGAAGGAGAGGGAGAGAGAGAGAGAGAGAGAGAGAGAGAGAGAGAGAGAGAGAGAGAGAGAGAGAGAGCAAGAGAGAGAGAGAGAGAGAGAGAGAAAGAGAGAGAGAGAGAGAGAGAGAGAGAGAGAGAGAGAGAGAGAGAGAGAGAGAGAGAGAGAGAGAGAGAGAGAAAGAGAGAGAGAGAAUUCAAUAAAUGAGUUGUAACAAUAUGGGUAAUACCGAAAUUAACAGCAAAUGUCUAAUAAUCCUCUGUGUCUCUAGAGUGUGUCUUUCUCCACAUCACCCAUUGAGGAUCCUAUCAACACUUUUAAGCCUUCCUUUCUGAAGAACUUUUUACAUUGUGUUGGUUAUCAGUGCAGCUUUUGGGCUGUCUGUAUGUCAUCCCUUGCUCUUGCUGUAUGACUAGCUUUCCUUCUUUUCUAUUUAUUUACUUCCUGAAUAAUAUUCUUUUAUAAUUUCUUAAGCACAAAUCAUUACUAAUAAUCAGUUGCAGCCAGCUUACACUCACUGUAAGGAUUCUCUCCUUUGCUGUUUGGAUCACACUCAAUUUUUAUUCUUCAUGGAUCAUAGUUUCCACAAUUUGCAGCUAUGUCACAUCAGGAGACCAGGUUUAAGAUGGAAUUUUGUGUCAGAAAACAGUUUAGGAUUGCCAAAAGUAUUGUGCAGUUCUCCGAAUUGAAUCUAUUUUACUCUGUUGCCCCUAUUUAAUUCUAGGGAAAGAAAAGAAGGGUUUAUUAAAUAUCCACAUGUGCCAGGCACUAUGCUAAGCACUUUUUACAAAUAUUCUUUUACUUGAUCCUCACAACAACCCAGCAAGAUAGAAGUUGUUAUCGGCUCCAUUUUAUAUUUGAGGAAAAUAGAAGUUAAGUGACUUUACCAGGGUCAUAUAGCUAACAAGUAUGUGGGGAUGAGGUUGCACUUUGAUCUUCCUGACUUUAGGUCAAGCACUCAGACCACUGUACCACUAGCUUCCUCUCAUUCUGGACCCAUAUCAUUGUUUUCUACAGAAGUCCAAUGCAAAUGAAUGAUUCACCAAAGUGCAGGUUAUCAAAAAUAAGCCAUUGAGGCUCAAAGGAAGCUUCUACCAAUUUGGAAGAGAUUAAAUUAUGAUCCAACAAAAGACAACCUAU
This 1324-nucleotide long non-coding RNA is filed under the name Monodelphis domestica (gray short-tailed opossum). RNAcentral's name for it is "lncRNA (ENSMODG00000041315.1)". The record is from RNAcentral. Lineage: Eukaryota; Metazoa; Chordata; Mammalia; Didelphimorphia; Didelphidae.